RNAcentral lists this long non-coding RNA (1439 nucleotides) under Oryzias sinensis (Chinese medaka). RNAcentral's name for it is "lncRNA (ENSOSIG00000006772.1)". Lineage: Eukaryota; Metazoa; Chordata; Actinopteri; Beloniformes; Adrianichthyidae. The record is from RNAcentral.
AUGAAAUGCUGUUGUCCUCCGGUCAUGAUGAAGUUUAUUUAUGUUUGUCAAAAUAAGAAGGUAAAAAAACUUGCAGAAAAAUAUCAGUGUUGGUUUGUUGAGACAGAAAUUCCACAGUGGGAAAAACAAAAGACGUCAAUGUUGUUCUUCCUGAUCCAUAAUCGCGUAAUUUCCUUCAACCUCUCUUCACUGCCACAUCAAGACGAACGCUAAGCAAGAAUAAAACCUGUAAAGAUGUUUAUAUUAUGUCCUUUCCAAGUGCCAGUUUGUGUGGUGUUAUUUGGAUAUUAACUCAUUCACUCAUUCAGAAAGUGAGUUCAUCUGGAUGUAAAAGUGAAGAGCGUCUCAAAUAAAACAUGAAAAGUUGGUUAUAUAGUCUAUAUUUUUACAAUGUGGGCAGCUGAGAAAAAAGUUUGUCAUUUAUUAGAAUUUGAGUUGGCAUUACCCACACCUCACUCAAGGCGAACAGCAUGUGCCUGCGUAAAAGUCGAAUCUGUGUGAAGUUCAAACAGCUUGCAUAUUUUACAGUGUUUACAAAGUUGUAUGUUGUGGUUAAAGCAAAUAAAACUACAAAAAAAAGUGUAAAUUAAACUUAGAUUUCAGAGGUUAGUGGAACAGUUCCCAUCAUUCCUUCUGUGUGUGUCCUCAGAUGUAUGCUUUGGUUGGAUAAACAUCCCUGUGGCACUUCUCAGUGAAGGAUUCUGAGUUGUUUUCCGGGAAACAAAGGUGAAUUUUGCUUUUGUGGGUGUGCAACCCAUCGUGCAUUGACACAAAGAAGAGCCAUGCAACUGUGCAGUAAAAUACACAGAAACACACUGAAUCAAACAAGCCAACAUGUGUAGAUGUGACUGAUUCAAGACCGUCAAAAUAAAGUAACAAAGUAGCGUUUGUACCUCUCACGUGCCUUAACCUUUUCCAUAGUAGAAAAAGUCAGAUGUGUUUUAUAAUAACUUUAUUUCUAACCUUGAUCUGUCAUUUCUUCAACCCAGACGCUCACCUCCCCUAUUUGGGUCAACUUUUAUCCCUUUUCUCCUGUCAUGUCAACACUUGAUCUACUUGGCACCCCACCCCACUGUUGCCCUGAGUUAGUCUAGACUGUUGGCGAGUUUCUGCCUUCUAUCACAUUGUAUUAUAAACUUUUCAAAAGCUAGAUUUGUCAGAAAAAAGGGGUUUGAAUCUGGAGAAGUAAAGAUGUUCAUGCUUUCUUAGCAGGCAGAAGCAAUGCCACGGUGACGGAAUGUAUUAUGUUAAUUUUACUAAUACCCAGAGGCAAAUAUUACGCUUGUUACACAUAAUGAAAAAUACUGGUUUGUAGAGUAUAAAUUUGGUGUGUUUUCAAUAAAUCAUGCCUGAGAAAGAACGUGUUGUCUGUUUCAUAAAACUUAGGAGUGUAUUCGUUUUCUUAUCGCUUUCAGGGUCACAGGGUCGCCCAAACCUGU